This 379-nucleotide long non-coding RNA is filed under the name Brassica rapa (field mustard). RNAcentral describes it as "long non-coding RNA (BRAP_LNC003695)". Lineage: Eukaryota; Viridiplantae; Streptophyta; Magnoliopsida; Brassicales; Brassicaceae. The record is from RNAcentral.
AAGAACACUUUUUGACUUUCUAUUACAUCUAAAGACACUUCUUACAUGUGACAUACUUUGUUGUGGGCCAAUGACAGAUUAUGAACAAUUUUACCCUUAAUGAAAACCACACUUGUGGACACUCAGGUAAAAUGUGGAUGCGUGAUUUGUGGACGGUGUGGAUGGGUGAUUUGUAGAUGGAAUAUACGAGUAAUGUGUGGAUGAGUGAUGACUUGGUAAGCUUUAAGGAGAACACAUAUACUACUUGUUUUUACUCCGUUGCCUAAUCCACUCACAACACUUCCUAUUAUUAGCACGUACUUCAUCUUCUUCCUUCUUGUUUCUCUGCUUUUUCAAUCGAAUAAAAAAUUAACUUAUCCUGCACAGAAGUCAAAUCAAC